RNAcentral lists this ribosomal RNA (485 nucleotides) under uncultured Gammaproteobacteria bacterium. RNAcentral describes it as "bacterial SSU rRNA". It matches the Rfam family "Bacterial small subunit ribosomal RNA", at positions 30 to 505 of the family's 1533-position model. Lineage: Bacteria; Pseudomonadati; Pseudomonadota; Gammaproteobacteria. The record is from RNAcentral.
AUUGAACGCUGGCGGUAUGCUUCAGACAUGCAAGUCGAACGGUAACAGCAGAGCUUGCUCUGGCUGACGAGUGGCGGACGGGUGAGUACAACGUAGGAAUCUAUCCAGUAGCUGGGGAUAACUCGAAGAAAUUCGAGCUAAUACCGAAUAAGCACUACGGUGGAAAGAGGGGGAUCUUUUGACCUCUCACUAUUGGCUGAGCCUACGCCGGAUUAGCUUGUUGGUGGGGUAAUGGCCUACCAAGGCAACGAUCCGUAGCUGGUCUGAGAGGACGAUCAGCCACACUGGGACUGAGACACGGCCCAGACUCCUACGGGAGGCAGCAGUCGGGAAUAUUGGACAAUGGGGGCAACCCUGAUCCAGCAAUACCGCGUGUGUGAAGAAGGCCUGCGGGUUGUAAAGCACUUUCAGUAGGGAAGAAAAGCCAUCGGUUAAUACCCGCUUGGUGAGGACGUUACCUACAGAAGAAGCACCGGCUAACUCCG